This 298-nucleotide ribosomal RNA is filed under the name uncultured eukaryote. Its description in RNAcentral is "partial 18S ribosomal RNA". It matches the Rfam family "Eukaryotic small subunit ribosomal RNA", at positions 1470 to 1796 of the family's 1831-position model. The record is from RNAcentral.
CCCUUAGACACUCUAGGCGGCACGCGCGCUACAAUGGGCGGAAGAACGUGUUACUGCCUCCGAAAGGAGGGGUGAAUCACGAAUUCCUGCCCGUGAAUGGGAUAGUUUGUUGCAAUUUUCGGACUUGAACUAGGAAUCCCUUGUAAACAUGCUCAAGAAUAGCGUGUUGAAUACGUCCCUGCCGUUUGUACACACCGCCCGUCGUUUCUUCCGACUGAUACUCAUUGUGAGUUGCAAGGACCCUUUAUUGGGAAAUUGCUGCAAAUGCUUUGUAUUGGAGGAAGAAAAAGUCGUAACA